RNAcentral lists this long non-coding RNA (747 nucleotides) under Nicotiana tabacum (common tobacco). RNAcentral's name for it is "long non-coding RNA (NTAB_LNC005584)". The record is from RNAcentral. Lineage: Eukaryota; Viridiplantae; Streptophyta; Magnoliopsida; Solanales; Solanaceae.
AAAAUGUUGCCAGGUACGUGUCGGAUCCACCUAAAGCAGUGCAUUUUUGGAGGAUCCGCCACGGGUGCGGCAACAUUUUGGAGAGUUCGCGCAACAUAGCUGAGAGAUUAGAUCCUAUCACACACAAACAGAAAAAAUAUUGCUUUAACAACACUUUCAGUAACUUAAAGAACUAUUCGAAACUACAAGUGGUUGGUAGACUGAGGUAUCUCUCCAGCAUCACGACUAUAGCUCUUUCCAGAAUAUGAACUUCACCUUUAUCAAAGGCACUAUAAGAUACUAUAAUUCACGGCUACCUUUUAUAGACGGGGUCUCAAAUAUGAUCUCAAUAGAAACAGAGUUCUAUCUGGUAUAAGUUAGUCUGAUACUUGGCUAGAAUUUAAUUGAACUUAUCACUUCUUUGGCUAGUCAACUUACUUCUCGUGAACAUAGCUAUCUAUCUGUGCAUUUGAUAAUUUAAGGUGUUAUCUGUUCAUUUUCCUUUUAACGUGUUCAUUUUCUUCUUUAGUUGUUUAUUCUUUGUUACUAAACUGGCAUAAAUUUCUUAUUUUAACAGAUCAAAAAUUUGAAGUGUGAAGAACCUAUCCUUGAAGAAAGUAUAGAGCAAGUUAAAGUACAAGAGGUUUUUGGUUCGUCAACGAUGGUUUAAAGGCGUUGUCUUAUGUACAUAUAUAUGCUUCAAUUUUACUUUUUUUCUUUUUAGGAAUUAUUAAAAAUGAUGAUUAACUCAUCUCACUUUAUGCUUCC